Gallus gallus (chicken) is the source of this 411-nucleotide long non-coding RNA. NCBI's taxonomy places the organism in Eukaryota, Metazoa, Chordata, Aves, Galliformes, Phasianidae. The record is from Ensembl.
CCAUUGCUGAGCAUGUGGGACGUACAGGAGCAGGGCUUGGGAUGAGGGUGCUAAAAUUAACUCCCGUGUUCUUCCCUAAAAUGGCUUUAUUUACUUCUGCAGGAGGAGAAAGUGAGGAACUCACCAGCCCUUGUUUACCGUCUGGUUUCAAAUCUGGGUGGCAGCAUGCUGAGAUAGUGUACGAAAUCAAAGGACAGCAGGCAGGAGGCUCUGCAGCUCCUGCCUCUCUAGCUGCGGUGUGUCUGUCCAGUAACACAGACAGAGCUGAGCACUCCCUGAGCCUCUUUCAGUACCCUUCCGCCUCAAAUGGUGUUGUUCAUCGUGGGCUGUCACACAUGUAAUCUCAGCCUGAGGACAGUCUGAGUUAACGCUGGAAGAAGAGGGAAGUGUGUUAUUUCAGUUCUCUGUGAA